AUACGUAGGAGGCAAGCGUUAUCCGGAUUUAUUGGGCGUAAAGCGCGUGCAGGUGGUUUGGUAAGUUGGGUAUGAAAUCUCCUGGCUUAACUAGGAGAGGUUGCUCAAAACUACCAGACUAGAGGACGAUAGAGGAAGGUGGAAUUCCCGGUGUAGUAGUGAAAUGCGUAGAUAUCGGGAGGAACACCAGUGGCGAAGGCGGCCUUCUGGGUCGUUCCUGACACUAAGACGCGAAAGCAUGGGUAGCAAACGGGAUUAGAAACCCCGGUAGUCCAUGCCGUAAACGAUGUGAACUUGAUGUCGGUGGCGUAAUAGUCAUCGGUGUCGUAGUUAACGCGAUAAGUUCACCGCCUGGGGAGUACGAUCGCAAGGUUAAA
Molecule: ribosomal RNA, 377 nt
Filed under: uncultured bacterium
Lineage: Bacteria
Description: bacterial SSU rRNA
Rfam family: Bacterial small subunit ribosomal RNA
Source: RNAcentral